Molecule: ribosomal RNA, 433 nt
Filed under: uncultured bacterium
Lineage: Bacteria
Description: partial 16S ribosomal RNA
Rfam family: Bacterial small subunit ribosomal RNA
Source: RNAcentral
AACGAACGCUGGCGGCAGGCCUAACACAUGCAAGUCGAGCGGACCUUUCGGGGUCAGCGGCGGACGGGUGAGUAACGCGUGGGAAUAUGCCCUUCUCUACGGAAUAGUCCUGGGAAACUGGGGGUAAUACCGUAUACGCCCUUUGGGGGAAAGAUUUAUCGGGGAAGGAUUAGCCCGCGUUGGAUUAGGUAGUUGGUGGGGUAAUGGCCUACCAAGCCGACGAUCCAUAGCUGGUUUGAGAGGAUGAUCAGCCACACUGGGACUGAGACACGGCCCAGACUCCUACGGGAGGCAGCAGUGGGGAAUCUUAGACAAUGGGGGCAACCCUGAUCUAGCCAUGCCGCGUGAGUGAUGAAGGCCUUAGGGUUGUAAAGCUCUUUCAGCUGGGAAGAUAAUGACGGUACCAGCAGAAGAAGCCCCUGCUAACUCCGUG